This 270-nucleotide long non-coding RNA is filed under the name Setaria viridis. RNAcentral's name for it is "long non-coding RNA (SVIR_LNC003652)". Lineage: Eukaryota; Viridiplantae; Streptophyta; Magnoliopsida; Poales; Poaceae. The record is from RNAcentral.
AGGAGUCGAAGAAGAAUAAAUUUAGUAUUGUUCUUUAGUUUCUUUUUUUAUUUUUAAGCUUUUGUAAUUUAAAUUACGCAAUCUUUGUAUUAGAAAUGUUGAGCGAAGCCAUACUCCUUUCCUCACGGGGAGAGUCUUUGUUAGGAUGCAAUGUCUCAGAGAAGAUAUGAAGUUUUUAACAAGGUGGACUUCUUGUGUAAUAUCUCCUUGUGAAAUAUAAAUAAGGGCUCCCCAAGAAAAAACAAAAGAGGAGAAAUACAGCAUAAAAAG